GACGAACGCUGGCGGCGUGCCUAAUACAUGCAAGUAGAACGCACAGUUUAUACCGUAGCUUGCUACACCAUAGACUGUGAGUUGCGAACGGGUGAGUAACGCGUAGGUAACCUGCCUGGUAGCGGGGGAUAACUAUUGGAAACGAUAGCUAAUACCGCAUAAUAUUAAUUAUUGCAUGAUAAUUGAUUGAAAGAUGCAACUGCAUCACUACCAGAUGGACCUGCGUUGUAUUAGCUAGUAGGUGAGGUAACGGCUCACCUAGGCGACGAUACAUAGCCGACCUGAGAGGGUGAUCGGCCACACUGGGACUGAGACACGGCCCAGACUCCUACGGGAGGCAGCAGUAGGGAAUCUUCGGCAAUGGACGAAAGUCUGACCGAGCAACGCCGCGUGAGUGAAGAAGGUUUUCGGAUCGUAUAGCUCUGUUGUAAGAGAAGAACGGGUGUGAGAGUGGAAAGUUCACACUGUGACGGUAUCUUACCAGAAAGGGACGGCUAACUACGUG
This 505-nucleotide ribosomal RNA is filed under the name uncultured bacterium. Its description in RNAcentral is "partial 16S ribosomal RNA". It matches the Rfam family "Bacterial small subunit ribosomal RNA", at positions 28 to 507 of the family's 1533-position model. The record is from RNAcentral.